AAUAUUGGACAAUGGGCGAAAGCCUGAUCCAGCCAUGCCGCGUGUGUGAAGAAGGNCUNNGGAUUNUNAAGCACUUUAAGUUGNNNNNAAGGGCAGUAAGUUAAUACCUUGCUGUUUUUACGUUACCGACAGAAUAAGCACCGGCUAACUUCGUGCCAGCAGCCGCGGUAAUACGAAGGGUGCAAGCGUUAAUCGGAAUUACUGGGCGUAAAGCGCGCGUAGGUGGUUUGAUAAGUUGGAUGUGAAAGCCCCGGGGUCAACCUGGGAAUUGCAUCCAAAACUGUCUGACUAGAGUAUGGCAGAGGGUGGUGGAAUUUCCUGUGUAGCGGUGAAAUGCGUAGAUAUAGGAAGGAACAUCAGUGGCGAAGGCGACUACCUGGACUGAUACUGACACUGAGGUGCGAAAGCGUGGGGAGCAAACAGG
This 424-nucleotide ribosomal RNA is filed under the name uncultured bacterium. RNAcentral describes it as "partial 16S ribosomal RNA". It matches the Rfam family "Bacterial small subunit ribosomal RNA", at positions 360 to 776 of the family's 1533-position model. The record is from RNAcentral.